UCAAAAACACAGCACUGCACCAGCUACUAAGAAGGAGAAAAAUGACUGUUACAGCUGAACCCAGGACAGUGCUUCUCUCAUUAUUUUGUAUAGUCAGAUAAUGAGAAUUAUCACCUGGAGAGACUCAAAUUUAUUUACUGUUUUUUAUUUCAUUAGGAGGCUUCUGGAUGUUGGAGCUAGUAAUGUUCCUGAUUUGUGCCUUCAUAAGUCAAGUGCUUGAGUUCAACUUCAAGCUAUAAUUGUUCUUAAGAUUUACAUUUUAGAUAGCCUUUUUUCCAGCAGUGCAGGUGUUGCAAACCUUAAAUUAUAAAUUCACAAAGCUGCUUCUGCCCUGAUAAAGAUGGAACUAAUAGGUAAGGAAAACAGUAUCUCCUUCCCAUACCUGUUUUCUUAAUGAUAAUGGAAUUUAAAAUAAGUACAAAGGUCUGUUUCAGCUAAAUAUCUCAUGUUCACUGGUAUUUGAAAAGAGAAUAAUGAGCUGAAAGUGUUUCUGUGCCCACCUGCAGUGUUAAUUGAAAGUGGUGAAGACAAAGAGGUAGAACCAGGCUCGAGGGACCUUUCUUACAGAAACUUUAUAUGAACCAUCUUUUCCUGUAUCUGAAUGUAUUGUCUAAGCCAUCCUCACUAAGCUGAAAGGCUUCAAUGUCUCCGCUUUGCCAUAUACAGUGCGCACAGCAGAAGAAACAGACACAAAUGUGGACCUAGCCUCCAAAUUUACAACUGAGAAGAAAUGUCCGACAUCAAGCUGACACUCAGCAGGCAGCACUGUCGGUUGUGUGGGUUUUGCCGUUGACUUGAGAGCUCAGUCAGAGAGCCUUCAGGCUUGGACACCCCUGCCCUCAGAGAGAGGGGGGAUUUACUAGGUACAGGAGAAAAGCAGGAUGAAGAAUGAUCGAUGGAGGAGUGAACAGGAAGAACAAUCAGCUCAGAAAAGGAUCUGAGGGAUUGGAUUAAAGGUGCCAGGGGUAUUCUGGGAGCAAAAAGCAAGACCUCAUUCAUCUCCCAUGUAUAGGAAUUGAAUAUGUAAAAAUCAGUGGCCUUUCUUAAAAUAAGAGUCCUAACUGCUAACUGAAAAAGAAUGAGUGGCCCCAGAGGUAUACUAGUAAUAGCUGUGACAUUGAAUCACUGAUUGGAGCCCUUGGUCUGUUGAAAGGUAUGGAUAAUGAGGAACAGCAGGCCCCAACCCUUGGAUGACUACCCAGAAGAAAAUGGGCAGUAGAUGGGUAAAAGGUAACUUUUACAGAGGGCAGUGCAGUCACUGACUUGAGAAACUCACUGACUCAAAAGAAGAGAAAGACUGAGCAUGGUGCCUGAUUAGCAUGAGAGGCGAGAGGGACUUUUAACCAAUAAGGGGUGGAAUAUUAAUUAAUGAAUAAAUUGUGUAACUCUCAACCAAUGGACACUGAUUCCUUUGUCAAAAUGUAUAAAUAGCUUAAAGUUACAAUCAUUGGGGUGCUUGAUUUGUGGAGGCUUCCACUGAGUACCUGUAAUGCAUGGGAACCUAGCUGAGAGUUGAUUCUCUCUGAUGACUGAGAGACAUAACAAAGUAUGUUGUUUG
This is an RNA transcript of Strigops habroptila (Kakapo), 1558 nucleotides long. It is a transcript of the gene named protein FAM219A-like, with no coding region annotated. The record is from RefSeq and is a predicted model, not a curated record. The transcript is spliced from 3 exons. NCBI's taxonomy places the organism in Eukaryota, Metazoa, Chordata, Aves, Psittaciformes, Psittacidae.